GUGCCAGCCGCCGCGGUAAUACGUAGGGUGCGAGCGUUAAUCGGAAUUACUGGGCGUAAAGCGUGCGCAGGCGGUUUCGUAAGUCAGAUGUGAAAGCCCCGGGCUUAACCUGGGAAUUGCGUUUGAAACUGCGAGGCUAGAGUGUGGCAGAGGGGGGUAGAAUUCCACGUGUAGCAGUGAAAUGCGUAGAGAUGUGGAGGAAUACCGAUGGCGAAGGCAGCCCCCUGGGCUAACACUGACGCUCAUGCACGAAAGCGUGGGGAGCAAACAGGAUUAGAAACCCGCGUAGUCC
RNAcentral lists this ribosomal RNA (292 nucleotides) under uncultured bacterium. Its description in RNAcentral is "partial 16S ribosomal RNA". It matches the Rfam family "Bacterial small subunit ribosomal RNA", at positions 505 to 796 of the family's 1533-position model. The record is from RNAcentral.